Molecule: ribosomal RNA, 208 nt
Filed under: uncultured bacterium
Lineage: Bacteria
Description: partial 16S ribosomal RNA
Rfam family: Bacterial small subunit ribosomal RNA
Source: RNAcentral
CACGUAGGCGGCAUGGCAAGUCAGAGGUGAAAGCCCUCGGCUCAACCGAGGAACUGCCUCUGAAACUGCCUUGCUUGAGUCCGGGAGAGGGGAGCGGAAUUCCCAGUGUAGCGGUGAAAUGCGUAGAUACUGGGAGGAACACCGGUGGCGAAGGCGGCUCCCUGGACCGGUACUGACGCUGAGGUGCGAAAGCGGUGGGUAGCAAACA